This 459-nucleotide ribosomal RNA is filed under the name uncultured bacterium. Its description in RNAcentral is "partial 16S ribosomal RNA". It matches the Rfam family "Bacterial small subunit ribosomal RNA", at positions 338 to 795 of the family's 1533-position model. The record is from RNAcentral.
CCUACGGGAGGCAGCAGUGAGGAAUAUUGGUCAAUGGUCGGGAGACUGAACCAGCCAAGCCGCGUGAGGGAGGAAGGUACAGAGUAUUGUAAACCUCUUUUGUCAGGGAACAAUGACUGGGACGCGUCCCCGGAUGAGUGUACCUGAAGAAAAAGCAUCGGCUAACUCCGUGCCAGCAGCCGCGGUAAUACGGAGGAUGCGAGCGUUAUCCGGAUUUAUUGGGUUUAAAGGGUGCGUAGGCGGUCUGUUAAGUCAGUGGUCAAAGCCCGGGGCUCAACCCUGAUCCGCCAUUGAAACUGGCAGUCUCGAGUUGGAGAGAGGUAUGCGGAAUGCGUGAUGUAGCGGUGAAAUGCAUAGAUAUCGCGCAGAACUCCGAUAGCGAAGGCAGCAUGCCGGCUCCACACUGACGCUGAGGCACGAGAGCGUGGGUAGCGAACAGGAUUAGAUACCCCAGUAGUC